GGGGGCUAUAUAUUGCCUUCAUCCAUUCUCAAACUUUAAAUAUGUAAGAAGCUNUUGUUGCUUAAUUGAACGUGAGCAUUCGAAUGUAUCAAUACUAGUGGGCCAUUUUUGGUAAGCAGAACUGGCGAUGCGGGAUGAACCGAACGCGAGGUUAAGGUGCCAGAGUAGACGCUCAUCAGACACCACAAAAGGUGUUAGUACAUCCAGACAGUUGGACGGUGGCCAUGGAAGUCGGAAUCCGCUAAGGACUGUGUAACAACUCACCAACCGAAUGUACUAGCCCUGAAAAUGGAUGGCGCUCAAGCGUCUCACCCAUACCUCGCCCUCAGGGUAGAAACGAUGNCCCUGAGGAGUAGGCGGACGUGGAGGUCAGUGACGAAGCCUAGGGCGUGAGCCCGGGUUGAACGGCC
Molecule: ribosomal RNA, 410 nt
Filed under: Clonostachys rosea f. catenulata
Lineage: Eukaryota; Fungi; Ascomycota; Sordariomycetes; Hypocreales; Bionectriaceae
Description: eukaryotic LSU rRNA
Rfam family: Eukaryotic large subunit ribosomal RNA
Source: RNAcentral